GACGAACGCUGGCGGCGUGCUUAACACAUGCAAGUCGAACGGAAAGGCCCUGCUUGCGGGGUACUCGAGUGGCGAACGGGUGAGUAACACGUGGGUGAUCUGCCCUGCACUUCGGGAUAAGCCUGGGAAACUGGGUCUAAUACCGGAUAGGAGCCAUUUUUAGUGUGAUGGUUGGAAAGUUUUUUUCGGUGUAGGAUGAGCUCGCGGCCUAUCAGCUUGUUGGUGGGGUAAUGGCCUACCAAGGCGGCGACGGGUAGCCGGCCUGAGAGGGUGGACGGCCACAUUGGGACUGAGAUACGGCCCAGACUCCUACGGGAGGCAGCAGUGGGGAAUAUUGCACAAUGGGCGCAAGCCUGAUGCAGGGACGCCGCGUGGGGGAUGACGGCCUUCGGGUUGUAAACUCCUUUCGCUAGGGACGAAGCUUUUUGUGACGGUACCUAGAUAAGAAGCACCGGCUAACUACGUG
This 466-nucleotide ribosomal RNA is filed under the name uncultured bacterium. Its description in RNAcentral is "partial 16S ribosomal RNA". It matches the Rfam family "Bacterial small subunit ribosomal RNA", at positions 28 to 507 of the family's 1533-position model. The record is from RNAcentral.